Molecule: ribosomal RNA, 425 nt
Filed under: uncultured bacterium
Lineage: Bacteria
Description: bacterial SSU rRNA
Rfam family: Bacterial small subunit ribosomal RNA
Source: RNAcentral
UAGGGAAUUUUCCACAAUGGGCGAAAGCCUGAUGGAGCAACGCCGCGUGCAGGAUGAAUGCCUUCGGGUUGUAAACUGCUUUUAUCUGUGACGAUUUUGACGGUAGCAGAUGAAUAAGGAUCGGCUAACUCCGUGCCAGCAGCCGCGGUCAUACGGAGGAUCCAAGCGUUAUCCGGAAUUACUGGGCGUAAAGAGUUGCGUAGGUGGCACUGUAAGUUGGUAGUGAAAGCCUGGGGCUCAACCCCUUACACAUUAUCAAAACUGCAGAGCUAGAGGACGAGAGAGGUAAUUGGAAUUCCUAAUGUAGGGGUAAAAUCCGUUGAUAUUAGGAGGAACACCGAUGGCGUAGGCAGAUUACUGGCUCGUUCCUGACACUAAGGCACGAAAGCGUGGGGAGCAAACAGGAUUAGAUACCCCUGUAGUCC